Molecule: long non-coding RNA, 110 nt
Organism: Cynara cardunculus var. scolymus (artichoke)
Lineage: Eukaryota; Viridiplantae; Streptophyta; Magnoliopsida; Asterales; Asteraceae
Exons: 2
Source: RefSeq, a predicted model, not a curated record
CAAUCCUUCCCCGGGAGUCUUGGCCUCUUCAAUAAUCCGAUUGAUCUCAUCAACGCUUUGAGAAAGGUGGCAUUUUUAAGAAGAAACGGUACCUUAGAUGGGUUAGCAAC